AUUGAACGCUGGCGGCAUGCCUUACACAUGCAAGUCGAACGGCAGCACGGGUGCUUGCACCUGGUGGCGAGUGGCGCACGGGUGAGUAAUACAUCGGAACAUGUCCUGUAGUGGGGGAUAGCCCGGCGAAAGCCGGAUUAAUACCGCAUACGAUCUACGGAUGAAAGCGGGGGCCCUUCGGGCCUCGCGCUAUGGGGUUGGCCGAUGGCUGAUUAGCUAGUUGGUGGGGUAAAGGCCUACCAAGGCGACGAUCAGUAGCUGGUCUGAGAGGACGACCAGCCACACUGGGACUGAGACACGGCCCAGACUCCUACGGGAGGCAGCAGUGGGGAAUUUUGGACAAUGGGCGAAAGCCUGAUCCAGCAAUGCCGCGUGUGUGAAGAAGGCCUUCGGGUUGUAAAGCACUUUUGUCCGGAAAGAAAUCCUUGGCUCUAAUACAGUCGGGGGAUGACGGUACCGGAAGAAUAAGCACCGGCUAACUACGUG
This 486-nucleotide ribosomal RNA is filed under the name uncultured bacterium. Its description in RNAcentral is "partial 16S ribosomal RNA". It matches the Rfam family "Bacterial small subunit ribosomal RNA", at positions 30 to 507 of the family's 1533-position model. The record is from RNAcentral.